Molecule: RNase P RNA, 336 nt
Filed under: Actinomycetota bacterium
Lineage: Bacteria; Bacillati; Actinomycetota
Description: RNase P RNA component class A
Rfam family: Bacterial RNase P class A
About the family: Ribonuclease P (RNase P) is a ubiquitous endoribonuclease, found in archaea, bacteria and eukarya as well as chloroplasts and mitochondria.
Source: RNAcentral
CGAGUUGGCCAGGUGGUCGCGGGAGUGAUACUCCUGAGGAAGGUCGGGGCUCCAAAGGGCAUGGUGCUGGCUAACGGCCAGUCAGGGCGACCUGAAGGAAAGUGCCACAGAAAGCAGACAGCCAGAAAUGGCAACGGUGAAACGGUGCGGUAAGAGCGCACCAGCAUAAAAGGCGACUUUUAUGGCUCGGUAAACCCCACCAGGAGCAAGGCCAAAUGGAGUUCGGUUGCCCGCCAGAUCAGCAAUGAUUAAACUCCUGGUAGGCCGCAUAGAUGGAUGGCCACCCACGUAGAGAGAUCUACCGGACAGAACCCCGCCUACAGGCCAACUCGACCC